GGGCAAAGAAAAAGAUUUGCAGAGGAGAGGGUUUGGGUUAGCGCACGGCAUCUUCCCAGCCACCUCCUAAACCCCAUUGAAUUCUCUCUCGAUGUGUUGAUGCCUUAGACAUAUUCUCUGAAAAUUCUGGAAAAAACUAUGAGUAGUCAAGUGCCUCCAGCGCCCAGGCGCAAUAGUUUGGUACAGAAACGAAACAUUUCAACUUUGAAGAAAUCUGUCAAUCAAUCUGACACAAAUCCUCCUACUAGCCAGAGCCAGAGCAAGCCUUCUUCUCCACCUCACUCGUCCGUUGCUGGGGAGAGAACAGUGAAAAAGCUAAGGUUAUCCAAGGCACUGACAAUUCCGGAGGGCACCACUGUGUCCGAGGCAUGUCGGCGGAUGGCAGCCAGACGAAUUGAUGCCGUUCUACUGACUGAUGCAAACGCCUUACUCUCUGGCAUAGUAACUGACAAGGAUAUUGCAACUAGGGUUAUAGCUGAGGAGUUGAGGCCUGAGCAAACAAUUAUUUCGAAGGUCAUGACCAGGAACCCCAUUUUUGUGGCUGCAGAUUCAUCGGCUAUUGAAGCCCUUCAGAAGAUGGUGCAAGGUAAAUUCCGCCACCUUCCUGUUGUGGAAAAUGGUGAAGUU
Molecule: unclassified non-coding RNA, 627 nt
Filed under: Hevea brasiliensis (rubber tree)
Lineage: Eukaryota; Viridiplantae; Streptophyta; Magnoliopsida; Malpighiales; Euphorbiaceae
Source: RNAcentral